Molecule: long non-coding RNA, 1366 nt
Filed under: Mus caroli (Ryukyu mouse)
Lineage: Eukaryota; Metazoa; Chordata; Mammalia; Rodentia; Muridae
Description: lncRNA (MGP_CAROLIEiJ_G0004048.1)
Source: RNAcentral
GGUCAUUGUCAUAACCAGAGAAGUGGAUCCUGCCCCCUGGGAGCUGCUUCGCUGGAGGACUCACACCAAUCUUCAUGAACUGUCUUUUGUGGGGUUUCUUGAGUUCCAGCAGGGCAUAGUCAUAAUCCAUGCCGAUGUCAUUGGCAUUGCCCUUGAUCCACCCCUUGGGCACAUGGGUGCGUUUCACACGGAUCCACUGAAACUUCAUCUUGUCUGGCAUGGCUGAGCUCGAGCUGUUGUCCCCUCCGGCACCAUCUUUAUACUUGGGCUUCAGGAAGCCCACUCGGAGUUUCUGUGUCCCUUUCACAUAGGUUUUCCCAUCGUGUAUGCAGUGGGCAGCAGUGAGGACGUGCUUCUCUGCCACCAGGGUGCCAGUGCAGCCAGUAGACAACUUCACCGAUGUUGAGAAAGGAUAGUUAAGCAGGAAGUCCUUCCCAAAAAUGCUAAACCUGCCAUCGUAGCCAUAAAUCUGCCUCUUCCUGCGAGAUCUCCCUGUGGCCUCCGAGUCUCUGCCUCGUGCCCUGCCUUCACCAUUGCUGAGGAUGUAGAUGCCCACCCGAGUCUCUGUGCGGCUGCCAUUGGCGUAAAGGGUUUCAUAGGAAAGGUAUUGCUUGGCCUCUUCGUAGGUGGGCAGUGGUGUUCCCUUGUGACACUGAGGUCCACAUGAGGAAGACACCUCCAAUUUCGCUUUGGCGUCGAAGUCUGCCUUAGCUAAGUUGAGGGUAGACUGAGGCAAGACUACAGGGAGGCGGUAAGCUGGCCAUGUGGGUUUCCAUGGAACGGUGUAAGGACUCACCUGCAUGAACACACAGAGCAGGACAAGAAGGGUGAAGAGCCCUGGGAUUCCAGCCAUGCUGAGUGCUACUGUAGAAACAAAGACAAGAAGUCAGGAGGACGAAAGCUAUACAGUUCAUUUACUGCAGCCUGGCAGGGCACAGCCGCUCGCUGGUCGUGUUUCUAAGACUGGGAACAUUCCUCAGGUUCCCAGCGAGAGACUCCCUCAGGUAAUGGUCUCACUUACAUGCAAGGACUUGCUUGACCUUAGAAUCAUUUCCACACCUCAAAUCCAAAUGAAGCUGCUCCCCCCGCCCCCCUUCAUGAUGAAGAAGUAAAGACCAUGGGACAUUACAGGGCCACAUCUAGAAAAUUUACCACUAUUCUGUGAACAUAUGGUCAGCUCUCAUUUUUUAUGAGAUUUUUGAAUGUUCUUUUAACUUGAUUCUAUAUACCUUGGCCUCUCCUGUCUAGCUACCCACCCACCCUUGGCCCCUUUCCUUCCUUGUUAUCUUAUUCUAUUACAGUAAGUUCUUACAUAAUAUUCUGGGCAACAUGCUCACUUAGAUAAUAAAUCUAAAGCAGACACUUU